GUAAUUUGUGUUGUUGGUUU
This 20-nucleotide microRNA is filed under the name Corchorus olitorius. RNAcentral's name for it is "gga-miR-16". The record is from RNAcentral. Lineage: Eukaryota; Viridiplantae; Streptophyta; Magnoliopsida; Malvales; Malvaceae.